RNAcentral lists this ribosomal RNA (484 nucleotides) under uncultured bacterium. RNAcentral describes it as "partial 16S ribosomal RNA". It matches the Rfam family "Bacterial small subunit ribosomal RNA", at positions 30 to 507 of the family's 1533-position model. The record is from RNAcentral.
AUUGAACGCUGGCGGCAGGCCUAACACAUGCAAGUCGAGCGGAUGAAGGGAGCUUGCUCCUGGAUUCAGCGGCGGACGGGUGAGUAAUGCCUAGGAAUCUGCCUGGUAGUGUGGGAUAACGUCCGGAAACGGGCGCUAAUACCGCAUACGUCCUGAGGGAGAAAGUGGGGGAUCUUCGGACCUCACGCUAUCAGAUGAUCCUAGGUCGGAUUAGCUAGUUGGUUAGGUAAAGGCCUACCAAGGCGACGAUCCGUAACUGGUCUGAGAGGAUGAUCAGUCACACUGGAACUGAGACACGGUCCAGACUCCUACGGGAGGCAGCAGUGGGGAAUAUUGGACAAUGGGCGAAAGCCUGAUCCAGCAAUGCCGCGUGUGUGAAGAAGGUCUUCGGAUUGUAAAGAACUUUAAGUUGGGAGGAAGGGCAGUAAGUUAAUACCUUGCUGUUUUGACGGUACCAACAGAAUAAGCACCGGCUAACUUCGUG